CGCGGGAUAGAGCAGUUGGUAGCUCGUUGGGCUCAUAACCCAAAGGUCGUCAGUUCGAGUCUGGCUCCCGCUAC
Molecule: transfer RNA, 74 nt
Filed under: Crocinitomicaceae bacterium
Lineage: Bacteria; Pseudomonadati; Bacteroidota; Flavobacteriia; Flavobacteriales; Crocinitomicaceae
Description: tRNA-Met(cat)
Rfam family: tRNA
About the family: Transfer RNA (tRNA) molecules are approximately 80 nucleotides in length. Their secondary structure includes four short double-helical elements and three loops (D, anti-codon, and T loops). Further hydrogen bonds mediate the characteristic L-shaped molecular structure. tRNAs have two regions of fundamental functional importance: the anti-codon, which is responsible for specific mRNA codon recognition, and the 3' end, to which the tRNAs corresponding amino acid is attached (by aminoacyl-tRNA synthetases). tRNAs cope with the degeneracy of the genetic code in two manners: having more than one tRNA (with a specific anti-codon) for a particular amino acid; and 'wobble' base-pairing, i.e. permitting non-standard base-pairing at the 3rd anti-codon position.
Source: RNAcentral